CGUAGGGUGCGAGCGUUAAUCGGAAUUACUGGGCGUAAAGCGUGCGCAGGCGGUUGUGCAAGACAGAUGUGAAAUCCCCGGGCUUAACCUGGGAACUGCAUUUGUGACUGCACGGCUGGAGUGCGGCAGAGGGGAGUGGAAUUCCGCGUGUAGCAGUGAAAUGCGUAGAUAUGCGGAGGAACACCGAUGGCGAAGGCAGCUCCCUGGGCCUGCACUGACGCUCAUGCACGAAAGCGUGGGGAGCAAACAGGAUU
RNAcentral lists this ribosomal RNA (254 nucleotides) under uncultured bacterium. Its description in RNAcentral is "partial 16S ribosomal RNA". It matches the Rfam family "Bacterial small subunit ribosomal RNA", at positions 526 to 779 of the family's 1533-position model. The record is from RNAcentral.